CUACUACUCAAGUCACUGUUAAAACAUUACAGACAAUCGGAAUGACACAGAUCAAGUUGUGUAAUUUACACUUCCACAUCUAUAACUACUAAUUCGAAAACAUUAAGCCGUUGUCAACAAAGUAUAGUUGAUAUUCAUUGAGAACAAAAGCUGUUGUUCUGUACAGCGGACAAAAACCUGUUGAAAGACUGAAGAAACUGAUAUGCUAGUCGUGUCAAAAAAAGUUAAUUUCAAAUUUAAAAUGAUGUUUCAGUGUGUCCGCAUGUUUAAAUUUUGUACAGAGAAAUAUGCUUCAAAUAUUUGAAAACAAAUUUUCUGUUUGGUUCUCUAUAAAUAGAUGCUUUUAAUAUAUUAUUUCUUAUAAUUAAGCACGGAACUGUGAUUUAUGAUCGUAGGGUUGUAUGUAUAUAUAUUUUUUCUCUUUAUAGUUGAAUUUUGACUACCCCCACCUACUCUCAAAUUAGGUUGUGAAGGAAAGUAUCUAGUUGCGUUCAUUAUCUUUAAAUCUUAAGGUCUUGUAGCAGGGCCAUAAGGGCUAAAAGGAACAGGGCAGAGUUAUGUUCCCUCAUUCUAUCGCUUGUAGGUGACGCUGCGAUGGCACUUCCGCUAGGGAGGAAUAAAAAACCCUAGAGGGAUAACGAAUCAUCCUCAUUUUCCUCCCAAUCACGCCCGUGGGCAGUUUGACCUGUCAACUGGUACAGCCAGCGAGGCUGCUAGCUUGCUUCGCCUUUGACCAUUUAUGCUUCCGCAUUAUGUAGCAGGCGCAUUUCUUACUCUCUUCUGUUUCAGCGUCAAUCACAUAAGAUGUAAUCAUGUUUGUACAACUUUUAUCUAUUCACGUCCAUCUUCAUAUGAACACUGUUAUAAAAACUUGCUUAACUUUGA
Long non-coding RNA from Octopus bimaculoides (California two-spot octopus), 885 nucleotides. Lineage: Eukaryota; Metazoa; Mollusca; Cephalopoda; Octopoda; Octopodidae. The record is from RefSeq and is a predicted model, not a curated record.